GUAGGGAAUUUUCCACAAUGGGCGAAAGCCUGAUGGAGCAAUGCCGCGUGCAGGAUGAAUGUCUUCGGAUUGUAAACUGCUUUUAUGAGGGAAGAUUAUGACGGUACCUCAUGAAUAAGCCUCGGCUAACUCCGUGCCAGCAGCCGCGGUCAUACGGAGGAGGCAAGCGUUAUCCGGAAUUAUUGGGCGUAAAGAGAUGCGUAGGUGGUCUACUAAGCAAAGUGUGAAAUCUUGUGGCUCAACCAUAAGGCUAUGCUUUGAACUAUUAGACUAGAGCACGAUAGAGGUAACUGGAAUUCCUAGUGUAGGAGUGAAAUCCGUAGAUAUUAGGAGGAACACCAAUGGCGAAGGCAGGUUACUGGAUCGUUGCUGACACUAAGGCUCGAAAGCGUGGGGAGCGAACGGGAUUAGAAACCCUAGUAGUCC
This 426-nucleotide ribosomal RNA is filed under the name uncultured bacterium. Its description in RNAcentral is "bacterial SSU rRNA". It matches the Rfam family "Bacterial small subunit ribosomal RNA", at positions 354 to 796 of the family's 1533-position model. The record is from RNAcentral.